UGAAUCGCUAGUAAUCGCGGAUCAGCACGCCGCGGUGAAUACGUUCCCGGGCCUUGUACACACCGCCCGUCACACCAUGGAAGUCUGCAAUGCCCAAGGCCGGUGGCCUAACCUUCGGGAAGGAGCCGUCUAAGGCAGGGCAGAUGACUGGGGUGAAGUCGUAACAAGGUAGCCGUAGGAGAACCUGCGGCUGGAUCACCUCCUUU
This 206-nucleotide ribosomal RNA is filed under the name Lactobacillus gallinarum. RNAcentral's name for it is "partial 16S ribosomal RNA". It matches the Rfam family "Bacterial small subunit ribosomal RNA", at positions 1328 to 1533 of the family's 1533-position model. Lineage: Bacteria; Bacillati; Bacillota; Bacilli; Lactobacillales; Lactobacillaceae. The record is from RNAcentral.